This 1263-nucleotide long non-coding RNA is filed under the name Cyanistes caeruleus (blue tit). RNAcentral's name for it is "lncRNA (ENSCCEG00000003503.1)". Lineage: Eukaryota; Metazoa; Chordata; Aves; Passeriformes; Paridae. The record is from RNAcentral.
UGCAGUCAUUACUUAAGCAGCAGAAUGGAAACAACUGGUGACAGACAACAGUCAUUUCCUGACCAGGUUCUGGCUCUCUGUUGCCCUCCUCUUGUCAUGCUCUGCUGGAGCAAGGAUGUGGGAGCAGUGACAACAGUGAUGGCCUCUUCAAGUUAAUUGCAGCUGCUGCUGAACAGGGUAAGGAUUGAAGAGUUCAGGAAGCACACUGAGUUUCCACUCAGAACAGUUUUUUUAAACACAGUUUGGGAAUAUUCUGUAAAACAGAGAAGCAAAUAGAAGCUGAAAAUCUCAUUAAGUUUGAAAGAUGGAAAUGGAAACUGUCUGCUAACUCCUGAAUUGUUGUAUGGCCAGGAUUUCUUCCUGCAAACUGGUAUGGAUGUUUCUAAGAGAUUGGAUGAGCAGCUCCUGCUCCAUGACUUUUUGAACAGAACAGUAUUUCAUAUCCAGAAGCCACUGGUCAUAAAAGGUGUUGAAUCCAUCAUAAGCUUGCAGGAUUUUGGAAAAUCAUGUCACAGCUGAGUUUCUUGCCAUUUCCUCAGAUCAAUUCCGCAAGUACUAGGUCUGUAAAAGUAAUUUUUAAAAAAUGCCUAAAGCUAAAAUACAACUAAUAUAUACACAGUUCAGUGAUCUUUGGUUAAUGAGAGAAGAAGAUUUAGUUUGGUGAUUGUUUCUGAAUAUUGUGUACUGAGGUGUCAGCUCAAGCUAUUUUUGAUCUACAGAGAGUCAUUGAAAGAUUGUUGACCUAUGUACACAUGAAAACCCUGUUCAAUAGUCAGAUAUAUGACUGACUCAGAGGUCCUCCUGAUUAAAUAACAAAUGAACUAAAAAACCCUCAAUAUCAACAACAGAAACUUUUAAACACCUAUUCUCCUUCCCCUGUAGGCGACAGUCAUUUAAACAGGAACUUGACUACCAGCCUUAUUACUUGAAUCUCUCUACACUCUUCUCCUUACCGUAGUUGACAACUUCAUCUCCUUGUUAUUUUCAGAUCCUUACUUUCUGCUUUCUAUUCUACAUUCAGCCUGUGAUUAGAAACAUGUUUAACCCUCCAUUUUCAAUUAUAUUGAUGUAUGCCAAUGAUUCAAAUAGCCAUAUUGCAAUUACUCUGUGUGGGCAGAAUUUCCCUUCAUGGCUUCAAUUAAAUCUUAUGCUAUAGAGCUGAACAAGGAAAUUUCUUCUUUUCAGUGUAUGUAGGGGACAGCUACAGAUAACAGUGACUUAUGCAUAUUAUUCUCUGGAGGCUAUAUGUAUAUAAGAUUCAGG